RNAcentral lists this non-coding RNA (249 nucleotides) under Brevibacillus parabrevis. Its description in RNAcentral is "T-box sequence". It matches the Rfam family "T-box leader". Rfam says of the family: Uncharged tRNA acts as the effector for transcription antitermination of genes in the T-box leader family. T-boxes are found upstream of many aminoacyl-tRNA synthetase genes and some amino acid biosynthetic genes usually in Gram-positive bacteria. The record is from RNAcentral. Lineage: Bacteria; Bacillati; Bacillota; Bacilli; Caryophanales; Paenibacillaceae.
AAAAUAGCAACGAAAGAGAGUAGUAUACGAAAGUGCUGCCUGACAGGGAAGCGCCGCCAAAGACUGAGAGCGGCCGCAGGAAUAGUCUUCGUAGAAUUCACUCUGGAGCUGACCUCUGAACGCAUGGCGCCGCUAGUAGGAGAGUCCGGGUCAUACCCGUUAUCAAUGACGAGGAGAGGCAUGUCUUUUGGGAAAAAGGCGAUGCCUAACUAGGGUGGUACCGCGAGAAACGAACAACUCGUCCCUUUU